Molecule: long non-coding RNA, 317 nt
Organism: Xenia sp. Carnegie-2017
Lineage: Eukaryota; Metazoa; Cnidaria; Anthozoa; Malacalcyonacea; Xeniidae
Exons: 2
Source: RefSeq, a predicted model, not a curated record
ACAAAGUAGACAAAAAAGUAGACAUAAAGGUAGACAUAAAUGUAGACAUAAAGGUAGACAUAAAGGUAGACAUAAAGGUAGACAUAAAGGUAGACAUAAAGGCAGACAUAAAGGUAGACAUAAAGGUGGACAUAAAGGUAGACUUAAAGGUAGACAUAAAGGUAGACAUAAAUGUACACAUAAAGGCAGACACAAAAGUAAACAUAAAGAUAGACAUGAAUGUAAACAUAAAGAUAGACGUAAAGGUAGACAUAAAGGUAGACAUAAAGUAAGACAUAAAGGUAGACAUAAAUGUAGACAUAAACGUAGACAUAAAG